AUUGAACGCUGGCGGCAUGCCUUACACAUGCAAGUCGAACGGCAGCGGGGGAGAAGCUUGCUUUUCCUGCCGGCGAGUGGCGGACGGGUGAGUAAUACAUCGGAACGUGCCCUGUAGUGGGGGAUAACUAGUCGAAAGAUUAGCUAAUACCGCAUACGACCUGAGGGUGAAAGUGGGGGACCGCAAGGCCUCAUGCUAUAGGAGCGGCCGAUGUCGGAUUAGCUAGUUGGCGGGGUAAAGGCCUACCAAGGCGACGAUCAGUAGCUGGUCUGAGAGGACGAUCAGCCACACUGGGACUGAGACACGGCCCAGACUCCUACGGGGGGCAGCAGUGGGGAAUUUUGGACAAGGGGCGAAAGCCUGAUCCAGCAAUGCCGCGUGUGUGAAGAAGGCCUUCGGGUUGUAAAGCACUUUUGUCCGGAAAGAAAUGGCUCUGGUUAAUACCUGGGGUCGAUGACGGUACCGGAAGAAUAAGGACCGGCUAACUACGUGCCAGCAGCCGCCGUAA
Molecule: ribosomal RNA, 508 nt
Filed under: uncultured bacterium
Lineage: Bacteria
Description: partial 16S ribosomal RNA
Rfam family: Bacterial small subunit ribosomal RNA
Source: RNAcentral